UACGGGGGGGGCAAGCGUUGUUCGGAAUUACUGGGCGUAAAGGGCUCGUAGGCGGCCAACUAAGUCAGACGUGAAAUCCCUCGGCUUAACCGGGGAACUGCGUCUGAUACUGGAUGGCUUGAGGUUGGGAGAGGGAUGCGGAAUUCCAGGUGUAGCGGUGAAAUGCGUAGAUAUUGGGAGGAACACCGGUGGCGAAGGCGGCCACCUGGGCCGGAACUGACGCUGAGGCGCGAAAGCGUGGGGAGCAAACGGG
Molecule: ribosomal RNA, 253 nt
Filed under: uncultured bacterium
Lineage: Bacteria
Description: partial 16S ribosomal RNA
Rfam family: Bacterial small subunit ribosomal RNA
Source: RNAcentral